UUACGCACACACAUCACUAACACUGACAGUUAACAUGGGCUACAUUUAAUAUGUUCCUUGCAUCAUUAUCUCCCAAGGACAGCAACCCACUUUGGUUUCUGAAAAUUGCAGUGCCUUAGCAUACUUUCAAUACAUUUAGCAGCGGUUAUCAUUCGGUAUUCAUUCUAUACAGAAAAAUAAACAGUCCGACUCGAAACUAAAAAGAAAUGCCACUUGACCCAAAUUUGAACCGGAAGCUGCUUAUCGGCCCUUGUAUCAUAGCCGUGGGUCUGGUCUUUCACACCAUUGGUCAAGCUACGCCUUACUGGACAAGUGUAACACUUCCUGGCUUCGAUUUCACACAUAACCUCGGGUUGUGGGAGGUCUGUGUUCCUAAAGGUUGUGUAAGGAUACACGACAUGGACAUCUUGUCCCGUACCUACCAUGUCUGCCGAGCUUUCGCCAUCAUGGGAGUUCUGUCCGGUGCUGCAGCGGUUCUCGCGAUAUUUCUCUACUUGUUUCAAGCCAAGCUCAUCUACGCCACCGUCUCGAAAGAUUUAGGAGGCCUGUCGGGUUUGUUGAUCGCUAUGUGUGUGAUUUUAUGGGCUGCUUACAAACAUAAUCACUGUGAGGAUAAAUCGUGUUCGUAC
Long non-coding RNA from Physella acuta, 629 nucleotides. RefSeq lists it as uncharacterized. The record is from RefSeq and is a predicted model, not a curated record. NCBI's taxonomy places the organism in Eukaryota, Metazoa, Mollusca, Gastropoda, Physidae.